UACCCGCAGCCCAAGUGGUGGUCGAUUUUAUUGAGUCUAAAACGUUCGUAGCCGGUUCACUAAAUCCUUGGGUAAAUCGGGAAGCUUAACUUUCCGACUUCCGAGGAGACUGGUGAACUUGGGACCGGGAGAGGCAAGAGGUACUUCUGGGGUAGGGGCAAAAUCCUGUAAUCCUAGAAGGACCACCGGUGGCGAAGGCGUCUUGCUAGAACGGAUCCGACGGUGAGGGACGAAGCCCUGGGUCGCAAACGGGAUUAGAUACCCCGGUAGUCCAGGGUGUAAACGCUGCAGACUUGGUGUUGGGGACCCUUCGGGGGUGUUCAGUGCCGGAGAGAAGUUGUUAAGUCUGCUACUUGGGGAGUACGUCCGCAAGGAUGAAACUUAA
Molecule: ribosomal RNA, 385 nt
Filed under: uncultured methanogenic archaeon
Lineage: Archaea; Methanobacteriati; Methanobacteriota
Description: bacterial SSU rRNA
Rfam family: Archaeal small subunit ribosomal RNA
Source: RNAcentral